AUGUUUUUACGUAAAGGCCUAAAAUCACUAAAGGACAAAUUGUUUUGCUCCUUUAAUGAAGUUUUUGCAUUUGUUGAAAUUUUUGGGUUCUAGUUGUAAUUACAUGAAGUAGGGAACUUUUGUGUUUUUACAAAGUGACCUCAAAAGUUUAUGUUUUGCAAUAUAGCCCAAUAGUUGAGGUUAUUGCAUUUUAGCCCAAAUUAGUAGAGAACAAAAUAGUUUUGUAUCUUUAAAUGAGAAUUGGAUUUUCAUUUCAUUUAGCUCCAUCUAAAUCAAUUCUAUGGAUACAAAAACCAAAUGACAAUGUUGCAUUCAAGUUUAAUUAGUUAAAGCAUUAAUUAAUUAAAGAAAGGGUGAUUAUGAACCUAAGCCUAUGAUAAUUGAGUUAUGUGAAAGGCUGUCUCUCAAAUUUGUUUGAACCAUGGGAAUGUGUAGAUUAGAUUUUGGUUGUAAUUUGAUAUGAUCAAAUGUUGUAAAAGAGAAUAAGCUCUUCUUUGCUUUAAAGUAAUUUGUUUUGAUCAAAUAUUGUAAAAGAGCAUAAGCUCUUCUUUACUUUGAAGUACUCCUUCCUUGUUUUAUUUGAUAUGCAUGAAAUUGGAGUAGUAGGGUCCAACGCCCAAUAAGAAAACACGCCUUAAUGUGAUUAAACGUGUAACUAAAAUCAAUCACCAUCCCUAGACCGAGAUCCAACACUAGGCUCGUGUUGGAUCGAAUCAAAGGCUCAUAGUCAUCCUAAGGUCUUUAGGCAACUAUAUAGUCCAUCAAUGAAUGCGAAGCUUAUGUUAGUAGUACCAUAUACUCUUGCUUUAAAAACCAUUUUACAAGCAUAGUGGGAGUAUCAUAUACUAUUAAAUCAAUCACAUGGACCAAUAGUUGUAAUAGGACCAAAUUGUUUUAAUAAGAUUAAAAUGCAUGUUUAUAUGUGAUGAGACCUAAAACCCUCAACCAAACCGUUAUUAAGUUGACAAACGUGAGAGUGCUUUGAACACUCUUUCGUGGCCUUCCACCGUGGUAGGCUCUGAUUGUUUGUGACUCAUACACCGACUUCACCCUAUCAUGGGGGAGUACAAAUUAUGUGCUUACGCUCAAGAGGAGUUCUAUACGCAUACAUGAUGUUGUGAAGGUAGGCAAUGAGAUGAUCAACAUCAUAUCAUUGUGAGGUUGUUCUUGAACCCCCUACCCAAACUUGCAUGGUGGGAAAGACUUAACUAAGUGCAAUGGAGCCAACAUCAUAUCAUUGUGAGGCAUCAUUCUCUAGAGGCCAAAUAAGAUGGUGAUAGGAGCAUAUUUAUGCGACUUAGUUAGCUUGUUUUCUUGCAUUUUCAUAGUUUGUUUGUGU
RNAcentral lists this long non-coding RNA (1339 nucleotides) under Malus domestica (apple). RNAcentral's name for it is "long non-coding RNA (MDOM_LNC013156)". The record is from RNAcentral. Lineage: Eukaryota; Viridiplantae; Streptophyta; Magnoliopsida; Rosales; Rosaceae.